UACGGAGGGUGCAAGCGUUAUCCGGAUUUACUGGGUUUAAAGGGUGCGUAGGCGGGUAGGUAAGUCAGUGGUGAAAUCUUCGAGCUUAACUCGGAAACUGCCUUUGAUACUAUCUAUCUUGAAUAUUGUGGAGGUAAGCGGAAUAUGUCAUGUAGCGGUGAAAUGCUUAGAUAUGACAUAGAACACCUAUUGCGAAGGCAGCUUACUACGCAUAUAUUGACGCUGAGGCACGAAAGCGUGGGGAUCAAACAGG
RNAcentral lists this ribosomal RNA (253 nucleotides) under uncultured bacterium. Its description in RNAcentral is "partial 16S ribosomal RNA". It matches the Rfam family "Bacterial small subunit ribosomal RNA", at positions 524 to 776 of the family's 1533-position model. The record is from RNAcentral. RNAcentral also lists the same sequence under 1 other name.